RNAcentral lists this long non-coding RNA (1122 nucleotides) under Apteryx haastii (Great spotted kiwi). RNAcentral describes it as "lncRNA (ENSAHAG00000003580.1)". Lineage: Eukaryota; Metazoa; Chordata; Aves; Apterygiformes; Apterygidae. The record is from RNAcentral.
AGGAGAGGCUGGCUCUGGGGAUGCCAUUUUUGGUGCUAACCCACAUGGAGAAAAGGAAUUCAUGGCUGCAAGAAUCACAGUGGCUAUUGCCAGAGAUGACAGAAUGGCCAAACCAUUCAGGUUAGACAGGACCUUGGGAGGUCUCUAGUCCAACCACCUGCUCACAUUGGAAUCAACACCGAAUUCACACCAAGCUUCUCAGGGCUUUAUCCAACAGUGUCCUGAAAGCUUCCAAGAACAGAGAGUUCAUAACCUCUCUGGACCCUUCUUCAAAUGCUUCAUGACCCUCAUUGAUUUUUCUCCCUUAUAUCCAAUUUAAUUGCCCUUGCGUCAGCUUAUAGCCAUUGCCUCUCAUUCUCCUGCCAUGAAUAGCUGCAAAAACCUGCUUCUUUAUUGAUGGUAACCUUGAGUUGGGAAGCUGCUAUGAGUGCCCCCCCACCCCGGCCAAAGUCUUCCCUUCUCCAGGCUGAACAAACCCCAUUCCCUCAGCCUCUCCUCACAAGGCAAGUGCUCCAGACCCCAACCAGCAUGGGGAUCUGCCACUGAACUCACUCUGAGUGAUCAGCAGCAUUUUUCUACAGGGGGGCUAAAAUGGAUGCAGAAUCUGGAUGUGCUCUAACAUGUGCUGAGUAGAGAGGGAUAAACAGUUCCCUCAGUCUCCUGGCUGCACUCCUGUUCAUGCGCCCCAGGAAGUUGCGGCCUCCAUUGCUGCCAUGGCACRCUGCUGGCUCACAUCUGGCUUGCUGCCCACAAAGAUUCCCAGGCCCUUUUCAGCAGAGCUGCUGCCCAGCCAGGCACUCUCCAGCCUGUAUUGCUGCAGGKUGUUGGUCUAUCUCAGGUGCAGGGCCUGACAGCCCAUUUCUCCUGCCUGCUAAGGUCCCUCUGAAUGGCAGCCCUCAAGCAUAUGAUGCCCAAUUAGGUGUCAUCUACCACUGUGAGGUGAGGUGUGUCCUGCAGGUUGCUGAUGAGCCUGUUAGACAGGACAGGUCACCGUACAGACCUCUGCAUACUCCACUUGUCACUGUGUUGCAGGUAAAGCCUGACCCAUUCAUAAAAAACCCUCUGAGCUUGAUCAUCCAACCAGCUUUUCACCCAUCUGAUUGUCUACCCAGCCUAUUGUAA